CGGGGAAUAUUGCACAAUGGGCGAAAGCCUGAUGCAGCAACGCCGCGUGGGGGACGAAGGCUCUCGGGUCGUAAACCCCUUUCAGCAGGGACGAUUGUGACGGUACCUGCAGAAGAAGCCCCGGCCAACUACGUGCCAGCAGCCGCGGUAACACGUAGGGGGCAAGCGUUGUCCGGAUUUAUUGGGCGUAAAGAGCUCGUAGGCGGCUUGGUAAGUCGGGUGUGAAAUCCCCGGGCUCAACCCGGGGCGGCCAUCCGAUACUGCUAUGGCUAGAGUCCGGUAGGGGAGCGUGGAAUUCCUGGUGUAGCGGUGAAAUGCGCAGAUAUCAGGAGGAACACCAGCGGCGAAGGCGGCGCUCUGGGCCGGAACUGACGCUGAGGAGCGAAAGCGUGGGGAGCAAACAGG
This 405-nucleotide ribosomal RNA is filed under the name uncultured bacterium. RNAcentral's name for it is "bacterial SSU rRNA". It matches the Rfam family "Bacterial small subunit ribosomal RNA", at positions 355 to 776 of the family's 1533-position model. The record is from RNAcentral.